This 440-nucleotide ribosomal RNA is filed under the name uncultured bacterium. RNAcentral describes it as "partial 16S ribosomal RNA". It matches the Rfam family "Bacterial small subunit ribosomal RNA", at positions 338 to 795 of the family's 1533-position model. The record is from RNAcentral.
CCUACGGGAGGCAGCAGUGGGGAAUAUUGCACAAUGGGGGAAACCCUGAUGCAGCGACGCCGCGUGAAGGAUGAAGUAUUUCGGUAUGUAAACUUCUAUCAGCAGGGAAGAAAAUGACGGUAUCUGACUAAGAAGCUCCGGCUAACAACGAGCCAGCAGACGCGGUAAUACGCAGGGGGCAAGCGUUAUCCGGAUUUCCUGGGCGUAAAGGGAGCGUAGACGGUAUGGCAAGUCAGAUGUGAAAACCCGGGGCUCAACCCCGGGACUGCAUUGGAAACUGCCGAACUAGAGUGUCGGAGAGGCAAGUGGAAUUCCUGGUGUAGCGGUGAAAUGCGUAGAUAUUAGGAGGAACACCGGUGGCGAAGGCGGCUUGCUGGACGAUGACUGACGUUGAGGCUCGAAAGCGUGGGGAGCAAACAGGAUUAGAUACCCCAGUAGUC